CGGUCCCUUUCCGAACGCGGAAGCUAAGCCCGAUUGCGCUGAUGGUACUGCACCUGGGAGGGUGUGGGAGAGUAGGUCGCCGCCAACC
This 88-nucleotide ribosomal RNA is filed under the name Corynebacterium diphtheriae bv. gravis. The record is from RNAcentral. Lineage: Bacteria; Bacillati; Actinomycetota; Actinomycetes; Mycobacteriales; Corynebacteriaceae.